This 315-nucleotide unclassified non-coding RNA is filed under the name plant metagenome. RNAcentral describes it as "partial contains 5.8S ribosomal RNA, internal transcribed spacer 2, and large subunit ribosomal RNA". The stretch from base 1 to 105 matches the Rfam family "5.8S ribosomal RNA", at positions 50 to 154 of the family's 154-position model. The record is from RNAcentral.
GAACUGCGAUAAGUAAUGUGAAUUGCAGAAUUCAGUGAAUCAUCGAGUCUUUGAACGCACAUUGCGCCCCCUGGCAUUCCGGGGGGCAUACCUGUCCGAGCGUCAUUGCUGCCCUUCAAGCCCGGCUUGUGUGUUGGGUCGUCGUCCCCUCCGGGGGACGGGCCCGAAAGGCAGCGGCGGCACCGCGUCCGGUCCUCGAGCGUAUGGGGCUUUGUCACCCGCUCGAUAAGGACCGGCCGGGCGCCAGCCGGCGUCUCCAACCUUUUUUUCUCAGGUUGACCUCGGAUCAGGUAGGGAUACCCGCUGAACUAAAGC